RNAcentral lists this ribosomal RNA (706 nucleotides) under uncultured bacterium. RNAcentral describes it as "bacterial SSU rRNA". It matches the Rfam family "Bacterial small subunit ribosomal RNA", at positions 60 to 766 of the family's 1533-position model. The record is from RNAcentral.
AGUCGAACGAAGCACUUUUGCGGAAUCCUUCGGGAGGAAGUGACUGUGACUGAGUGGCGGACGGGUGAGUAACGCGUGGGUAACCUGCCUCACACAGGGGGACAACAGCUGGAAACGGCUGCUAAUACCGCAUAAGCGCACAGUGCCGCAUGGCACGGUGUGAAAAGAUUCAUCGGUGUGAGAUGGACCCGCGUCUGAUUAGCCAGUUGGCAGGGUAACGGCCUACCAAAGCGACGAUCAGUAGCCGGCUUGAGAGAGUGACCGGCCACAUUGGGACUGAGACACGGCCCAGACUCCUACGGGAGGCAGCAGUGGGGAAUAUUGCACAAUGGGGGAAACCCUGAUGCAGCGACGCCGCGUGAGCGAAGAAGUAUUUCGGUAUGUAAAGCUCUAUCAGCAGGGAAGAUAAUGACGGUACCUGACUAAGAAGCUCCGGCUAAAUACGUGCCAGCAGCCGCGGUAAUACGUAUGGAGCAAGCGUUAUCCGGAUUUACUGGGUGUAAAGGGAGCGUAGACGGCAGGGCAAGUCUGAUGUGAAAACCCGGGGCUCAACCCCGGGACUGCAUUGGAAACUGUCCGGCUGGAGUGCAGGAGAGGUAAGUGGAAUUCCUAGUGUAGCGGUGAAAUGCGUAGAUAUUAGGAGGAACACCAGUGGCGAAGGCGGCUUACUGGACUGUAACUGACGUUGAGGCUCGAAAGCGUGGGG